Long non-coding RNA from Oncorhynchus kisutch (coho salmon), 376 nucleotides. RefSeq lists it as uncharacterized. The transcript has 2 exons. The record is from RefSeq and is a predicted model, not a curated record. Lineage: Eukaryota; Metazoa; Chordata; Actinopteri; Salmoniformes; Salmonidae.
CGACUGCAUUAUACCAAGGAUACAGACAGGGGAGGAUACUAUAAAACAGUGUUUGCUGCAACACAGCGGUUUCAGGUUUCAGGUCAAUGAAAUGUUGACAUGACGAAUUUGACAUAGAGGGAAGAUCGGGGCAGACUGUCAGCUGAUAUGUUGACAUGACUUCUGACCGGACACAAAUGUCAUUAUUAUAUCAUCAACAGCAACUGACAGGCGGUAGAGACCUCCAGCUACAGCUACAGCUUCAACAAGAACUGCUCCAAGAACUGUCAGCCAGCAGGAAUGACACGUCUUAGGAAACAUUUGAUCUGAAACACAGGAUGUAGAAUUAUUACAAUACCUAAUGCUUAUUACACAUUAAAUGACUUUUAAAACAGGA